UUUAAAACUACUUUCACCCCUGCUCAAAAGUGAUUGUCACUGAACGUCAUAUCCUCUGCAAGAAUAAUAAAGUAAAAUGGAUCAUUUUUUUUACAAGUACAGUGAUAUCUAAUUUUGACUAUUUUUUCUCUGUUUUCUCUUUAUUGUCCCUUCACAGGACAAUAAAGGCUGUUUCUAUUCUAUUCUACAUUUCUGAAGCCACCUUCUCCACCUGACAGUGUUACGCUCUGCUUUCAGAGCUUGCUGCACACGGCGAGAGCGAUUCAGGUAAGGAGGCAGUGGAGGCACGCCUGAAUGGGUUGAAAGCCUCCAGAAAAAGGUGGUCAUAAAAGUUGGAUUCCCAGCAGACGCCUCAGCUUCUGUCAACUCAGUUUACAGUGAGACACUAACACACCGGCAGUUAUCGUCUCAGGGGCAGCCACCAGCUCUUGAAGUGUCUGCAGCUCAAAGGUCAACACGUCAUUCUUUAAGUACAUCUGGGCCCAUUUAGUUUUCAGUGGGAAAGAACGUUGCAUUUUUCUGCUCGCUGCUGUUGAGUCACAAGGCCCAGAGGAUGUGAAGUCAAUCCGACCCAUYGGGGCUCGGUUAGAGAGCUCACUCUUGUUCCACUCAAGACAAAGACAAACGCAGGAGAGACGAGAAGGAGGAGAGGGGACUAAAAGAGUGAGAGAGGGGAAGAAAGGAGGAAAAGACRAGUAGAAGUGGAGUAGCAGUGGAAGAGGGCUAAGACGUCAAGCUAAGUUGAAAAGUGAAAUAAAAAACAAGGGGACAUCAACAGAAUUAAGGUAUAAAAAAUGCAUAAAAGCUUUGAAUGAAUGGUAUAAUUAGCCUUCUAUGCAUAUUAGGCUAAUUACAGUAUGUAUUCAAAAGUAACAUCAAUGUGUGGGUGUUUAUGGUAUAUACUUGCUCUUGACUGCGCUCCAGUGGGAUGUUCAUGGUGACAUGCAGUGUUAAUUUUCCUCCAAAUAUGUAAGCCUAAAAAGCAUGGUUCCUGUCCUCCCUGCACGGCCAAACCUUUUGGACCAGUCAGAUUAGAUGGACGGUCAAGUUUAGGGGGAUUUACAGAUGAAAUAGCAAGUUUAGUGUGCCACCCUUCUACAGUUUGUGCCCCUGCCUGCCCCCWGAAGCCCCCAAAUAAAAAAAUAAAAAAUCUAGCCAUGUCCCUGCUAUCUAACAAGAGGAUGCAUUAAAUAUACAUCGAGUCCAACCGUUCAUGUUUGUUUACUCUUAUUAUUCAUGCUGAUUUCAUUGCUGAUGUAGAUUCCCCUCGCUGCAUUCAAAUUAACCCUCAUUUAUUCAUCUGUGACAAACACUCACAGCAUGGAAGUAAUUGCGCCACAGUGUUUAAUGCUCUUAAAUUCCCUAGAAUCACAUUAGGCACCUCUGUUUUUUUUUUUUUUUGGUUUGUUUGUUUUGUUUUUUUUUCCUGUGCUUUUUUUUCUUCUUUGAGAUUUCCUCCAUGCUCGUCUUGUUGAACUUUUGGUAUUUCUUUGUCAAAACCUUCUGAGUGAAUGCUGCAGAGUACAAAACUCUAUUACAAGAUGGACACUUUGCUGUAAACUACAAUUAAAAAACAAUUACUGAAUAAUGAAAACUGUCAAGUUAUGUGCACUAAAUGUUAAGUAAGAUCUACGAGUCAUGCAGCRUCUACUCAAUUUACGCUUCGAUGUUAUUAAAACAUGACUUCAGUUGUGGCCAAAUUGAGUUGGGCACUUGCAAAUGGAGGCUSAAUAGCAACUUUAAUACAAUUACUGGUUAAAAUAUUCAAUUGCAAUUUCAUAAUACCUUCCAGCAAUACUUUCUUCAGUUGCACAGUUACGCACUAUUUUGUGUUGAUAUAUUACCGUAAAUCUCAUCUUUUAAGCAAAUUCGUUUUUACAUUUUAUGAUUUAGGACUUUUUGGAACGACCUAAGAGUCUCGCAGAUCAUUACUUUAGGUGCGUCACCAACGAUGCUCAUCAGGUGGUUGAUACAAAUGACAAAUCGUUAAAUAUAAAAGACGACAAUAAAAAGACAGAAGCAAUUUCCUGAGUUCAAAGUAAUCUACAAGGUAAUGACAUCAUUACUUUGUCAAAAGAUGUUUUCAACACAUUCAAAGCCUGUUAUUUAUUUCCUUUUGCUAUCGGCACGUAAUGUGCGGCUGUAAGGAGAAGAAAUGAAUGUCGAGUGAGGUUUGUGCAUUGUAUGUUUGACUUCCCUGUUAAAUGUCUUCACGCUCUACAUCUCUCCCCAUCUCCUGCAACAUCACGAACAAAAAGUGGGUCUAUGCAACAGGUGGAAAAUUAAAGUCAAACUGAACUCUGCUCAGGUGAGGAUUUCACUUCACACAAACUCAAUACCURAMCGUUGUGUGGUCGUUGGGGUAAUUUCUACACUUGGACGGGGGACAUGAUGUAUAAACGAGGACAUAAUUGGUGUCACAGUUUGAUUUUUCUUCUGCUGCAUUUAGCAGAUGUGUAGAGCUUGUUGUCAUAGUAGCCGAGUUAAGGUUUGUAAUUGAGGUCAAGACGAGGUUAUUCCUUUAGGUAAGAAACUGAAGGAAGGUAACGACCUAAAA
Poecilia reticulata (guppy) is the source of this 2557-nucleotide long non-coding RNA. RefSeq lists it as uncharacterized. The record is from RefSeq and is a predicted model, not a curated record. NCBI's taxonomy places the organism in Eukaryota, Metazoa, Chordata, Actinopteri, Cyprinodontiformes, Poeciliidae.